RNAcentral lists this ribosomal RNA (447 nucleotides) under uncultured bacterium. Its description in RNAcentral is "bacterial SSU rRNA". It matches the Rfam family "Bacterial small subunit ribosomal RNA", at positions 355 to 825 of the family's 1533-position model. The record is from RNAcentral.
UGGGGAAUCUUGGACAAUGGGCGCAAGCCUGAUCCAGCCAUGCCGCGUGAGUGAAGAAGGCCUUCGGGUUGUAAAGCUCUUUUACCAGGGACGAUAAUGACGGUACCUGGAGAAUAAGCCCCGGCAAACUUCGUGCCAGCAGCCGCGGUAAUACGAAGGGGGCUAGCGUUGUUCGGAAUUACUGGGCGUAAAGCGUGCGUAGGCGGCCAUUCAAGUCAGAGGUGAAAGCCUGGAGCUCAACUCCAGAACUGCCUUUGAAACUAGAUGGCUAGAAUCUUGGAGAGGUGAGUGGAAUUCCGAGUGUAGAGGUGAAAUUCGUAGAUAUUCGGAAGAACACCAGUGGCGAAGGCGACUCACUGGACAAGUAUUGACGCUGAGGUACGAAAGCGUGGGGAGCAAACAGGAUUAGAUACCCCAGUAGUCCCUGAGCGGGCUGGCAAGGCGCAU